Molecule: ribosomal RNA, 250 nt
Filed under: uncultured bacterium
Lineage: Bacteria
Description: partial 16S ribosomal RNA
Rfam family: Bacterial small subunit ribosomal RNA
Source: RNAcentral
UACAGGGGGGGCAAGCGUUAUUCAUCUUGAUUGGGCGCAAAGGGUACGUAGGCGGUCUAUAGUGAGUAUUGGUGAAAUCCUAGAACUUAAUAUUUUAGAAGAGCUAAUACUAUUGAUACGACUUGAGUUAAACGUUCGUUGUGUAGAAUUCUCAAAGGAGCGCUGAAAUGCUGAGAUAUUGAGAGGAAUACUGUAAAUGAAAAUGUCCUUCGAUGUUUAACUGACGCUGAGGUACGAAGGCAUAGGUAGC